AGACGGUAGUUGGGCUCUAACGGGCUGCAGCGAGGCCAUUUAUUACGCGACCGACCCACCAGCCCCGUCCCCAUCUGCUCAUUUGUUCCCCCAAAAUCGAGAGGAAGAACCAUAGACAGAGCUCAUGGCGAACGCCAACCAAGCUGCAGAUCCGGUCGCACUGCCUUUAGUUCCUUGCCCGGAUUGUGGAAGGCGGGUGGUGACGUUCGUUGCUAGGCGCGGUCAGUUCCAGGGUGACAGGUUUUACAAGUGCCGCAAUCACAAUCCGGGUAGAGGUGGCUGAGCUUGGACCGGCGACACCUCCGUUGGCGCAAAUCAAUCCAGGAGAGAACGAGGUAGCUGCAGCAAAUCAAGGUGGUCAGAUGCAGCCGGCGGACGGCACGGUGGGGCAGCAGAACGGGGCACCGGAUGGAUCGCAGAUGCCGUCCGCGGCUAGUGGCGUUGUUGGAUCUCAGCUCCGCGCGGGGGAUGUUGGUCGGCGUCAGGAAUCCUUCACUCUCGAUGCUGCAUCUAUCAAUCUGGUGGUGUCUGUUGGGAAUAUGGCCAUCUGCCUCGCCAUCCUUGUACUGGUAGUGUCUUCCACCGUGAUGCGUGCGUUUGAUUAAUUGGAUGAAUCUAAGAAGCGUAUGCGUAUGUAGUAGAUGAUCUAUGUCAGGGGUUAAUUAGUGUUAGCAUCGUACGUGGGAGAAGGACUCUGAGACUCAUGGAGCUUUUGGAUGUAUGUUUGGUUCAGUGGAUGCCUAGUGCUAAUGAAAUUUUGGUUUCAAGCUAAUCAUGAACAGUCAAUGACGUAGUUGCUAUUUCUUGAUUUUUAAAA
Triticum dicoccoides is the source of this 817-nucleotide long non-coding RNA. RefSeq lists it as uncharacterized. The transcript has 2 exons. The record is from RefSeq and is a predicted model, not a curated record. NCBI's taxonomy places the organism in Eukaryota, Viridiplantae, Streptophyta, Magnoliopsida, Poales, Poaceae.